RNAcentral lists this long non-coding RNA (7406 nucleotides) under Vitis vinifera (wine grape). Its description in RNAcentral is "long non-coding RNA (VVIN_LNC000660)". The record is from RNAcentral. Lineage: Eukaryota; Viridiplantae; Streptophyta; Magnoliopsida; Vitales; Vitaceae.
GAUCUGACGAGAAUUUUUGGUGAAUUUGGGCCAAUCACUAGUGUUGUGGUGAUGAGAGAUGGUGAUGGAAAAUCAAAGUGCUUUGGAUUUGUCAACUUUGAGAAUGUGGAUGAUGCUGCUAUGUCUGUUGAGGCUCUUAAUGGGCAGAAAUUUGAUGAUAAGGAGUGGUAUGUUGGGAAGGCCCAGAAAAAAUCUGAAAGGGAAAUUGAAUUAAAAAGUCGAUUUGAACAGAAUAUGAAGGAGGCAGUUGACAAAUUUCAAGGAGCAAACCUCUACAUCAAAAAUUUAGAUGAUAGCAUUGGUGAUGAUAAACUAAAGGAAUUGUUUGCUCAGUUUGGUACAAUUACUUCAUGCAAGGUCUGUAGCAUCUAUUUCUUGAACAGGAAAAUACCUGCAUAAGCAAUCCUUUUAAUCUAUUUGCUGAAGCUUUGUAUUCCUUUGAUAUCUCGACAGGUUAUGCGAGAUCCCAAUGGUUUAAGUAGAGGAUCAGGGUUUGUUGCAUUCUCAUCUCCUGAGGAGGCAUCUAGAGCUGUGAGUUGUUUUGAUUGUGUGUGUUGGUGAAAACCUUUACAUAUUUUUCCUCUUAUAAAAAAAAUAAUAUAUAUUUCUUUGUUUUGAUAGCUUGCUGAGAUGAAUAGCAAAAUGGUUGUUAGCAAACCUUUAUAUGUUGCCCUUGCGCAACGUAAAGAAGAUAGAAGAGCAAGGUUGCAGGUAUUUAUGUUUUUGUUUUUUCAUUGUUUUGAACUCUCAACUAACUGGAAUUGAACAGAAAAGGAUGGUACUGAUUAUAAUGAUGUUGCAACAUAUAAAUGCUGUGUGCUUUUCUCCUAGAAUACCUAAAUUCAUUUUCAUAUGGGCUAUUUGCCAAAAAGAAUGGGAGACACAUGCAAUGAGUUAGAUUUUUUACCCUGCACCAUCUUCUAUGUUGAGAGUGUUGGAAGCGUUUCUCAUGUGAGCACAUGUCAAAUGGGCAUUAUAGUCAUGGGGUUAUUCUGAUGCCUGGUAGUUGUGUGGUUCUUCAUGCUUAAGCCAAAUUUCCAUUUGCUUUUUCAGGCUCAAUUUUCUCAAAUGCGUCCUGUUCCAAUGCCACCUUCCGUUGUUCCUCGUUUGCCAAUGUAUCCACCCAGUGGUCCUGGUCUUGGACAACAAAUGUUCUACGGUCAAGCGCCACCUGCUAUUAUUCCUCCUCAAGUAAUCCUUUUCUCUUGACAUUUGCAUCCUUAACAUUUUUGGUUCCUUUAUUGGAUAUAUUAUAAAAGUUCAUAGCAUUCUUUGGAUCAUUUAAAUGAGCAUUCUUAUCUGAAAGUUCUGUUUGGUUAAGGAGUUUGGGUAGAUGCUUUCCUCUGUUUCAUAGAGCUCAUCCAUUGAGAAGCUGUGGUGCCAUAUAUCAAUUUCUUGUUUGUGCAUGUAGUUUGAGAUAAAUGCCAAGCGUUGCUUAUUAAUGGUGAUUUGAUGACAUUAUUUUCCAGAAGAAGGGAAUUAACACUGAGUUUUUGUAUGACAGUACAGUUCUAAUCUGACGUUUGAAAAAAUGCAUUGAUUUUACUUUGCUUGAGCACUUCUGUUGGUUGGUUAGGGAGUGAAUCACUGUGUUAAGCUGAAAUCUCUGAUUACCUUGUGAAACAGGGGUCUGGGUAUAUAGAUGGUUAAGGUGGCUUUUUCUUUUAUAUUAUCAGUUCUUAACCACUCCUCCAACUGGCCUGUAGUAGCUCUCUCUGUCAGUUGUGCACUUCCCAUCCUGCUGAAAGGGUUUAGACCAGUGUUUUGAAAAGCAUUGCUGAGGUGUGCCUUGAAGCGCGCUCUAAGGUGAGGCGUCCAGAAAACGCCUUGAGGCGUUGAAAAAAAAAAAGGCAGCACAUGAAAGGCGCACGCGUUUUGGCCUAAGGCCCUUUUGAGACGCACUCUGCAUAUGCCUUUUACUCCUCAUAGUUAGAUGCGUGAGCCUUUUGGUUGUUGAGGUGGCCAACCCAAAAAACAAGAACUUUUGAAGAAAACCUAUCAUUUAACCCCUAAAUCCUCAAACUCUCAAAGAGAAAACAGAAUAGAGAAAGAAAUUGAGAGAAACCUAACCCUAACUCUCCGCGUCAUUGGCUGAUUGAAGAUCCAACUUUUCUUCGACAAUCUCCUUGCUAAGACGGAACAGCCUACUCCAUCCUCACUCUGCGACAUCACCCCAUGAUGAUGUUUUGUGGCAGAGCUUCUUCCUUAUCUCGAAAGGUGUUGUCUUCUUUUUCUGCGGAGCUUCUCCUCUCAGUCUCACUUCUCUCUCUCUCACUUCACCCAACAAUCUCACCACACCACUUACACUCGGAACUCUUUUUUAAUAUUUAUAUUGUUUUAUAUUCCUCACCCCACGACCACACAUUUGAGUAUAUUAUUUUUGUUUCUUUCCACUCUUUUAAUUUUUUUGUCUUGCCUCACCACACACUGAAUUUUUUUACUCUUUUUUCUCAAAUCACCACUUCUCACUUUCUGCCCUCACGCCCACAGUCCACACUCCACAGAAACAUGUUUUCAUUAUUAUUGUUAUUAUUUUUGUUGCUUUUUUGAACGACAAAUUAAAAUUAAAUAAAAUAAAAUUAUUUUGAUUUAUUGAAUUAUUAGAUUGCUGUACAAUAUGGUUACUUUUAUAAUUCUAAUGGAUUAUUUUUCAUGUUUUUUAUUGAUGCAAUUUUAUUUAAAAUAUUUAUUAAUUACAAAAAAUGAGGGUCUCAAAAGGCUUAUGCCUCAACACUUUGAGGCUUACGCCUCGCCUCAUGGACACAAAAAUGCCUUGCCUUAUGCUUUUACCUUUGAAAACUUUGAUUUAGACUCCUCCAUGUGUUAACCUUUGACUAAUGAAACAUUUGGCUUGUAAGCUUAGAUUAAUUGUAGGUUAUGUGGUGUUUGCUAAUCAAAAUGCAAUUUUUGGGGCAAGCAAACCAACUUGCCUAAAAGAUAUGGACCUACAAUGUAUAUCUUAUUAAUAUCUCCCUCGCUCAUGUGCUGUAAUUUUAGAUAAGUUGAUGCGAAAUAUGGUUAGAGAGGCUUGAACUAGAGACUUCCAGUUAAUUAUAACUAUGAUACCAUCUUAAGCAGCUAAUAGACAAAAAUAAAUAGAUAGGGAAAGACUCAAACUCAAGACCUCCAAGUAACUAGAACUUUGAUAUCGUGUCAAGUGAUUAACAUUCCUAGAAGCUUUAGCUAUCAUGAUAUGAGCCCACGAUGUAUACUAGAUUAAUAUUAUCAAUCUACAAAAAAAAAAAAGGGAAAAAACAAUUAGUUUUUUGGCCUUGUGGGAGGGAGGAUUAAAGUAACUUUAUUUUUAUUUUUUUUAUAAGUAAAGAGAGUUUAUUAAUAAACGCUAAAAGCACACAAGAGUACAUGAGUCCUAUACAAAGAGCACCAAACAAAAACAAGAAAGAGGGUACACAAAUACUCUCUUCCUCAUCCAAGACCCAACCGAUCUAUAGAAUCAACCAAAUGAGUAUAACUUCUGCCUAUAUACACCCUAACCCAUAGAGAAAUUGUUAAGGGAAAUAUUUUAGCCUUUUUUUUUUUUGAUCAGAAACGAAGAGAAAUAUAUUAAUAGAAGGAAAGAAGGGAAAUAUUUUAGCCUUUGAUCUAACAAUUCCUCACAUUCAAAGAAUCUCUUAUUUGUUUCCUUCCAGAUUGUCCAGAAAAUACGAAGAGCAACUCUCCAAGCCUUACUACGCCUUCUGUUUACAAAAGAGUCAUGCCAACCUAGGAGAGUCUCCCUAAGUGACUCAUAUAUAACCCACCAAAUAUAAAAAAUGAAGAACACCAGCUGCCAUAAGAUUCUCGCCUUGUCACUAUGAAGGAGGAUAUGAUCAAUAGAGUCAUGACUCCUCUUUACACAAUGCACACCUAUUUGUCAAUGUCCACUCUCUUCUUUGAAGCUAAUCCAAUGUCAAUACCUUUCCCUAGCAAGCCUCUCAAGUGAAGAAACUCACCUUCGAAGGAAUCCACGAGGUCCAUAUUAUCUUUAAAGAGAAAAGGAUGGUAUAAUUUGUCUCCAACAUAAAGUAAAGCCCUCUUACAAGGAAGACCCCUUUGUUAUCUCCCUUCCAAACUACUCCAUCCUCCUCCUCCCUCUUCAUUGUUUGUCCUUGGACUUUAGAUGGGAAUCGUUCCAUGACACCUAACUCCGAAUCAUUCUAGUUCCUAACAAAAUGGAAGUUUUGAUUUCCUCUUUCUCCAUGUUGCUUCCAAAAAUCAGCUACCCAUGCCUUCUUCAAAUCAAAUGGGGUCAAUAUCUUUCCUUAGCAAGCCUCUCAAGUGAAGAAACUCACCUUAAAAGGAAUCCACGAGUUCCAUAUUAUCUUUAAAGAGAAAAGGAUGGUAUAAUUUGUCUCCAACAUAAAGUAAAGCCCUCUUACAAGGAAGACCCCUUUGUUAUCUCCCUUCCAAACUACUCCAUCCUCCUCCUCCCUCUUCAUUGUUUGUCCUUAGACUUUAGAUGGGAAUUGUUCCAUGACACCUAACUCCGAAUCAUUCUAGUUCCUAACAAAAUGGAAGUUUCGAUUUCCUCUUUCUCCAUGUUGCUUCCAAAAAUCAGCUACCCAUGCCUUCUUCAAAUCAAAUAGGGCAAACAAGGACGGGAAAGUCUCACAUAAGGGCUCCUCACUGCACAUCUUUCCAAAACUUCACCCUACUCCCAUUACCCACCGCAAAGGAAAUCUUCGUUUUAAAAAAUUUUCACCGCUUCCCAAUCUCUUUCCAAAACCCAACCCCAUAGGAAUCUCUCACCGCUAUUGACCCAAACCUCCUUUUUCCUCCCCAAACUUUCCCCUUAUGAUUUUCUUCCACAAUGAAUGUUUUUCACUAAAGGGAUCACCAACACCAUUGCAAAGAAUGGCCAUAUUGAUCAAAGGAAGAGAAUGAACACCUAGUCCUUCUUUCAAUUUUUCUUUACAAAUGGUUGACUACUUGGCUAAGUGUAUUUUAUUCUCUAAGGUCCCUCCUCAUAAAAAAUCCCUUUGAAUCUUCUCUAAUCUCACCCUUACAAUUCUUGGGAUGGUAAAGUAACCUUUUUUGGGAUUGUAGCUUUGCUUCUUAGAAUUUAUAUGCACAAGACACUUGUUUCUUUUAUCUUGGGUUGUGGUGGAGUGGAUUAGAUGAUUAGAUCUUUCAGGGGUGCUUUGAUAUGGUUGAAAUAACUUUACUGUAAAGAUAAAUUUGGACAAACAAGAUGGCAUAAGUUAGAGAAGUUGUUAUUGCCAUCGAGUUGGUAGUUGGGAUUAGGGUUGUAAUAUUUGAUAUUUGGUGCCUUUGCAUCUUAUCUUAGGCUAUCGAGUUCUCUUUCAAUGGAAAAGGUGGUUUGGUAGGUGGUGAGUUAUACGGUGGGAGGAAUUAGUCAAUGCAAAAGUGAUUUAAGGGGGUAAUUUAAACUUGAUUUAAAGCACAAUCCUGCUUUAGGCCCAACUUACUUUAUGCCCCUUUUUUAAGGUCUUGAUCAUUAGCAACCAUUAGGAUGGAAUUACUAGAAAGAGGUUUCAUUUCAUUUGGAGUUGGGAAAGUCUACCUUGUUCUAUGUUUAUUUUAGACAUUAUGGAAGUAAAGAAAUAGGAGGGUUUUUGAAGGCGUAGAAGAAUAGGAUCAAGCGAAUGUGUUACUUUGGAGGGGGCUAGAGUGUAUAUAGAUGAUCUUUUUAUGACCAUAAUAUGCUUUAGGGAUUGGUUGAGCUCCAACAAAGGAGAGGGAGAUUGUUUUUUUGUUUGCUCUCUACCUUGUGUUGGCUUGAUUUAUAUACAUUGUGUGCUUUGGUGUGCCUUUUUUAGGCACUUUUAAUAUAUUCUCUCAUUUAUAUAUAUAUAUAUAUUAUUUAUUAAUUAAUUUAUUUUUAUUUAAAUAAGCAAAUGAGAAUAUAUUAAAAGUGGCAAUGAAAAAAAUGGGGCACACACCUUAUACACAAGUAUGCAUAUAAAAAGUAAAAAAGAAACAAUCGACAACCACAAGCUUAAUUUAAUACUUAGGGCACAACCACUUAUUGAAGUCUAUCAAGGAUGGGGAAUCAGCUUGAAUAUCAUCUUAAAGAGACCCGCAAGACCACAUGUAUAGGCUGGAAAUAAGGCAAUCCUUAAGAGAAUGGAAAGUGCCAUUACCCCAUAGAUGAGGAGAUGGUUAACCGAUUCUUUUUCACUUUUUAAACAUAUAAUAAUAACUCACCAAAAACCAUCUUGGUCUUUGGUUAGGAUCCUUCUCCAUGCCACUUCCCUUGCAAAGAAAUCUACUUUGGUUGGAGCCCAUGAGCCCCAUGCUAUCCUUGAGGGGAAUGGCACUUCUCUCUCCACCUCCAAGGUAGAGUAGAAAGAUUUCACUGAGAAUUCUCUAAUAUAUAAUAUUUGUAAUUGUUAUAUUACAAAAUUAGGCAGCAAUUUCUGGAGUAUCUAACCAUGGUUGUCAUGCAAGGACUUCAAUGUUUAAGUUUCUAAGUCAUUCUGAUGUUGAUGGAUCAGUCAACUAUGUGGAGAGUAGAAUAUGUUGUAUAAUGUUUGAAGCAUUUUUGUUCUUCUAAAGGGUUUUGUUCAUGCACUGAUUUAUCCAGUCUUUUCACUGUUUUUAUUUAUUCACAAAAGAUUAUUGGAAAUAUUAUUUAAAGCCAUGGAUAAUUGUUUUUGUUGUUAAUGGGGUCUUUAAUGUGUUUAGUUAUUUAUAGUUGGACACAUUCGUCUUUUGUUUGUGAUUCUUUGUUGUGUUUUCUCUGUAUUCAUAUCUCAUUCUUGUAUCUAAUGAGACAAUGAUUUAAAAGUAUAUAUUCUUAACUGAACUCAUGGUCCUAAAUGGCAUGGGAUCUGGCAUCAAGUAGUAGUUAUAAGGCAUGCAAAACAAUGGUGGUGCCUCUCAAGAAAAGAAAAGUGGUGCUAGGAUGAGAUAAUUCUCUAGGUUCAGAAAUUUAGUUAUGGAUAGAGAGUAGCACUCUGAUGUUGUUGAAAGGGAUUCAGAACAUUACAUUUGAAAUUAUGUCUCAAAUAGUUAGCAUAAGUAUCUGAUAAAAAAAAAAAAGCGUAAGGAGAAUAGUAACUUAGAGUUAACAAGCUUUUUUAUUUAUUUAUUUUUAAAAAAAAUUCCACUCCUUUUGGAUCUUCUGGAUUGAUAUGACCUAUAAGUUUUUCUCCUUUUCAAAUAAAUGAAAAUUUCUCCAUUCAUACUUUUUCCUUGAAAUGAUCCAAGUGCUGGAUAAGACGAUGCCAAUAUUUUAGUAACAAGUUUGGUUUCUAUGGGCUUAUGUUUUUUCAGCCUGGAUUUGGGUAUCAACAACAGCUUGUUCCUGGCAUGAGGCCUGCUGGACCUCCUAUGCCGAAUUUCUUUGUGCCAAUUGUUCAACAGGGGCAGCAGGGUCAGCGUCCAGGUGGCAGACGUGCUGGAGCUGUUCCUAUGCAACAAACCCAGCAGCAAGUUCCCCU